Molecule: ribosomal RNA, 253 nt
Filed under: uncultured bacterium
Lineage: Bacteria
Description: partial 16S ribosomal RNA
Rfam family: Bacterial small subunit ribosomal RNA
Source: RNAcentral
UACGUAGGGUCCAAGCGUUAUCCGGAAUCACUGGGCGUAAAGCGUGCGUAGGUGGAUGUUUAAGUGUGAUGUUAAAUCGUGUGGCUCAACCAUAUCGAUGUGUCGCAUACUGGGCAUCUAGAGGACAGCAGAGGCAAGUGGAACUGGUAGUGUAGCAGUGAAAUGCGUAGAUAUUACCAAGAACACCAAUGGCGAAGGCAGCUUGCUGGGCUACUCCUGACACUGAGGUACGAAAGCGUGGGGAGCGAACAGG